This 617-nucleotide long non-coding RNA is filed under the name Anas platyrhynchos platyrhynchos (common mallard). RNAcentral's name for it is "lncRNA (ENSAPLG00000027972.1)". Lineage: Eukaryota; Metazoa; Chordata; Aves; Anseriformes; Anatidae. The record is from RNAcentral.
AAGGAAAAUAAAAAGUUGUAAGGAAAAAGUGCAGAUGAAGACGUUGACUGAGCAAGACCAUGCUCAGUUUGUCAGAGAGAGCAAGGGGGUUUCAGCCUUCUUCAUAUUGCCCACACAGUAAUCGGUCUUGGGUUGUUCCCAGAGGGACCAGCCUUCACAGCUUCCCUAACCUCUGCAUUGCCCCAGCCUCAACCAGAUUCUCACAGGCAGCAACGUGGGACUCUUCACGCUCAUCCUACUGCCCUAAGGGAGGUUGUGACGAAUGACUAUCUGAAUGUGUUUGUAUCCAUUGACUGCAGAAGGCACCUAGAUAACUCAUCUACAUUUACCACUUCAAUACCUUUCAGAAGGCUAAAUUGGGAGAAAGAACCCAACCCAGCUGCCUUACGAAAGUCAAGAGCAAGUGAAAUCCAUGAUGUUAUGAUAGUCAGCAAGGAGCCAGUCCUGGAGGCUAUGGACUCAGCAAGAGAGCAGAUAAAUCAAAGUAAAGAGGACUGCCAAACUUGUAUGUGACAUUGAAAUGAUCCUGGAUACCCUUCAGGUCUUAAAUCUAUUUUUGUGUUUGCAGAAGCAUCUUGAUAUUAGAAUGGUUCCAAUAAAUCUUUCUCUCAAUGUCA